CCAGACUCUACGGGAGGCAGCAGUAGGGAAUCUUCGGCAAUGGGGGGAACCCUGACCGAGCAACGCCGCGUGAGUGAAGAAGGUUUUCGGAUCGUAAAGCUCUGUUGUUAAGGAAGAACGAGUGUGAGAAUGGAAAGUUCAUACUGUGACGGUACUUAACCAGAAAGGGACGGCUAACUACGUGCCAGCAGCCGCGGUAAUACGUAGGUCCCGAGCGUUGUCCGGAUUUAUUGGGCGUAAAGCGAGCGCAGGCGGUUAGAUAAGUCUGAAGUUAAAGGCAGUGGCUCAACCAUUGUAGGCUUUGGAAACUGUUUAACUUGAGUGCAGAAGGGGAGAGUGGAAUUCCAUGUGCAGCGGUGAAAUGCGUAGAUAUAUGGAGGAACACCGGUGGCGAAAGCGGCUCUCUGGUCUGUAACUGACGCUGAGGCUCGAAAGCGUGGGGAGCGAACAGGAUUAGAUACCCUGGUAGUCCACGCCGUAAACGAUGAGUGCUAGGUGUUAGGUCCUUUCCGGGACUUAGUGCCGCAGCUAACGCAUUAAGCACUCCGCCUGGGGAGUACGACCGCAAGGUUGAAACUCAAAGGAAUUGACGGGGGCCCGCACAAG
Molecule: ribosomal RNA, 606 nt
Filed under: uncultured bacterium
Lineage: Bacteria
Description: bacterial SSU rRNA
Rfam family: Bacterial small subunit ribosomal RNA
Source: RNAcentral